RNAcentral lists this unclassified non-coding RNA (335 nucleotides) under soil metagenome. Its description in RNAcentral is "partial contains 5.8S ribosomal RNA, internal transcribed spacer 2, and large subunit ribosomal RNA". The stretch from base 1 to 120 matches the Rfam family "5.8S ribosomal RNA", at positions 35 to 154 of the family's 154-position model. The record is from RNAcentral.
GAUGAAGAACGUAGCGAAAUGCGAUAAGUAAUGUGAAUUGCAGAAUUCAGUGAAUCAUCGAAUCUUUGAACGCACAUUGCGCCCGCCAGUAUUCUGGCGGGCAUGCCUGUUCGAGCGUCAUUUCAACCAUCAAGCCCCCGGCUUGUGUUGGGGACCUGCGGCUGCCGCAGACCCUGAAAACCAGUGGCGGGCUCGCUAGUCACUCCGAGCGUAGUAGUUACAUCUCGCUCAGGGCGUGCUGCGGGUUCCGGCCGUUAAAAGCCUUAUUUACCCAAGGUUGACCUCGGAUCAGGUAGGAAGACCCGCUGAACUUAAGCAUAUCAAUAAGCGGAGGA